AUACUUACCUGGCGUAGGAAAUACCGUGAUCAUGCAGGCGGUUCCCCCAGGGUGAGGCUGCUCCAUCGCACUGCGGAGUCGGAGUGGUCGACCCUUGCGAUUAUUUUUAUUUUUAUCAAUAAAAAAAUCAUAAUAAAAAAUGUAUACCCGAAUAAUUAUUUUCUUUAUAC
Molecule: small nuclear RNA, 170 nt
Filed under: Bombyx mandarina (wild silkworm)
Lineage: Eukaryota; Metazoa; Arthropoda; Insecta; Lepidoptera; Bombycidae
Description: U1 spliceosomal RNA
Source: RNAcentral